UGCCAGCCGCCGCGGUAAUACGGAGGGAGCUAGCGUUGUUCGGAAUUACUGGGCGUAAAGCGUACGUAGGCGGCUUUGUAAGUUAGGAGUGAAAUCCCCGGGCUCAACCUGGGAACUGCUCUUAAGACUGCAGAGCUUGAGGACGAGAGAGGAAAGUGGAAUUCCAAGUGUAGAGGUGAAAUUCGUAGAUAUUUGGAAGAACACCAGUGGCGAGGGCGACUUUCUGGCUCGUAACUGACGCUGAGGUACGAAAGUGUGGGGAGCAAACAGGAUUAGAUA
Molecule: ribosomal RNA, 279 nt
Filed under: uncultured bacterium
Lineage: Bacteria
Description: partial 16S ribosomal RNA
Rfam family: Bacterial small subunit ribosomal RNA
Source: RNAcentral